AAAAAGGCAAACCCUAGGUUUCCGUGUCCAACUUUAAUUGUCCCUAUAUGAAAUUUUUUUAUAAUUCGUAUUUUUAUUGUUGUUAGAUGAUAAAACAUGAUUAAUAUUUUAUGCGUGACUUGUCUUUUUAAUUUUUUCAUAAUUUUUUCAAAUAAGACGAACGGUCAAACGUUAAGCACGGAAACCAGGGUUUGUAUUUUUU
This is a non-coding RNA of Oryza glaberrima (African rice), 202 nucleotides long. The record is from Rfam. NCBI's taxonomy places the organism in Eukaryota, Viridiplantae, Streptophyta, Magnoliopsida, Poales, Poaceae.